AUGCACAUCUCAGCAGUCAGGGAUCUUGAGGUCCAGGAGGUGCUGCUGAGGGAAGGAAGGUUCUGCAUUCAGACCCUCAGAACGCAAAUGAACCCGCCUAACCACUUGGCAGAAGUUGGCUGGUUCCAAGGUCCAUCAUUAUCUCAUCUUCCUCUCAGCAACUUGACCAGGACUGUAGGACAGAUCUCUACAUAUGUGUAGAGGCUCACAUAUGUGACUUCAUUGGCUGACAGGCACAAAGCAAGGUGUCUAUAUCCCAAAAAGCAGGGUGUCUCUACCCAGCUUCUGUGCUCCUUUAUGGCAUAAAUGGCAUGAUCAAACGGUUAUCCACCAUAGUAUCUGCAAUGCAGCUCUGACACUAACCACCUGGAGUUGGUGCAGAUGACGGGUUGGGGGCUCCGUCCCCCACAGGAAGACCCUCACUUUAGAUAUCUGCUACAAGUUCUGGCCCCCCCUGGAUACAUGCACCUCUGACCAACUGGCUGCAAAUUCAGGGGUUUCCCUGACCUCCUGGCAUUCAGUAAUUCACAGUGAUGAACGACACAACUCAGGAAAGUGCCGUACUUAGGAUUGCGGUGUCAUUACCAAGGAUACAAUCAGAACCAGCUACUGGGAGAGGCGUGGAGGGGGAGGUCUGGGAAAGUCCCAGAUUCAGAACUUCCAUGUCCCCAGACCGUGCAAAGCCUCCCAGAUGACUGAUGUGUGAUUACAAACCAGGGAUAGUCAUCCAAGCUUCCAAUGCUCAGAGGUUUCAUGAUGUAGGCGUGACUGAUAGGACUUGAUCUCCAGUCCCUUUCUCCAGGAGGUGAUGGAGCAGGGCCUCAGCCUGCUGUUCACAUGGUCAGUCUUUCUGGCAUGGGCUGUCCUGACCCUGAGUCCCCUCGUUAGCAAAGACUUUGAGGGCUCGCUGUGAAUAACGAAGACUUGCCAAGGAUUUGGAGGUGACUUCCCAGGAACAAAGGCCGGUCCAAUUCUGUAUUAUACAACAAUUUGCUGGUGCUAUCCAAUGACAUGCUCUCACCAGCCCUUGCCAUGGGAUGCUGACUCCAUGCCUCUUACAAAGGAUUCUCCCUGACCCAGCUGAUGGAAGCUGUGUCCUAAGUGCUUUGCAGAGACGACAGCAGAAACCGUCCAGAAAGGCCCCUUCAAUGGCCAAGUGAGUGCUUUGUUCUGAAGGAAGUUAGAGCCCAAGUUCAUACAACUAUCAUGAAAUCUUCGAAACAUUUCAUUUUUUAAGUCAUGAGAUUCCCCUGAGCCCUCCCUGUCCAAGUUGUGUGAUGCUCUCUUUCAGAAGGAAAGGAGCCAGGACAGAAAGCUCGAACCUCGUUCCCCUUAGAUGAACCAGUCUUAUUUCGAGGGGGACUCCUCUCCAUGGUGGGAUUUUCAGCUCAGCUCGGCAUCCCUCAUGCACCAGGCAAUGCAGGUUCAGUAGGGAAGCAGGCUUGAGCCCCACCGUGGAAGGCUUGCAGCCUCGGGUGCAGAGGGGUGAGGCUGGAUCUCAGAUACGGAGCAAGGAUUUCAGUUUGGGCUGGGAAGAGGUAUGCCUGGAGGGCCCUGGGAACACAGAGCAGGUGCCCCGGCUCAGACCAGGAGGGUUAGGGUCAUCUUGGUGUCUUUAAGGGAUCAGUGGGGGUGACUAGAUGAUUGUGGGUAAGGGGACGGCAUGAAUGAGGCAGAGAGGAGCCAAACAGCAACCCCAGGCUGUUUGAAAAUGUGGAAGUUUUGAGUGGGGCUUGAGGGAGUGUAUCAGAAGAUAGCUGGCCAGGUGUGGUGAGUCACGCCUGUAAUCCCAGCACUUUGGGAGGCUGAGAUGGGAGUAUCACUUGAGUUCAGGAGUUCGAGACCAGCCUGGCCAAAAUGGUGAAACCCCGUCUCUUCUAAAAAUACAGCAAAAUUAGCUGAGUGUGGUGGAACACGCCUAUAAUCCCAGUUACUAGGGAGGCUGGGGCACAACAAUCGUUAGGACCUGUCAGGCUGAGGCUGCAGUGAGCCGAGAUCGCACCAUUGCACUCCAGUCUGGGCAACAGAGCAAGAUUCUGUCUCAAAAAUAAAUAAAUAAGUAAAACAAAUAAAGAACGAAAGAAGAUAGCCAAGGAGCUCAGAUUGUCCUGUAUAAAGAAGAAGAGCUAUCAGCUGAUGAAUGGAGAAAUAAAUUGUGGUAUACACACGCACAAGGAAUAACAGCCCUAAAAAAGGAAUGAAGUACUGAAGACAGGACACAACAUAGAUGAGCCUUGAGAACAUUAGCUAAGUGAAAGAAGCCAGACACAAAAGACCAUAUAGUGUAUAAUUCUAUUUGCAUGAAAUGUCCAGAAUAGGCAAACGCACGAAGACAGAAAGCAUGUGAUCGCCUGGG
This is a long non-coding RNA of Macaca mulatta (Rhesus monkey), 2356 nucleotides long. NCBI's taxonomy places the organism in Eukaryota, Metazoa, Chordata, Mammalia, Primates, Cercopithecidae. The record is from Ensembl.